GACGAACGCUGGCGGCGUGCCUAACACAUGCAAGUCGAACGCUUCUUCCCUCUCGAGUGCUUGCACUCAAUUGGCGAGAGGAGAAGCGGACGGGAAAGUAACACGUGGUUAAGCUAACCAUCAGGGGAGGAUGACACUUGGAAACAGGGGCUCAUACCGCAUAACAGUUUAUGCCACAUGGCAUAAGAGUGAAGGGCGCUUUCGGGCGUCGCUGCUGGAUGGACACGCGGUGCGUUAGCUAGUUGGUGAGGUAACGGCUCACUAAGGCCGCGAUGCAUCGCCGACCUGAGGGGGGGUUCGGCCACUGUGGGACUGAGACACGGCCCAGGCUCCUACGUGAGGCACCAGUAGGGACUCUUCGGCAAUGGACGGAAGUCUGCCCGAUCGGCGCCGCGUUAGUGAAGCAGGUCUUCGGAUCGUAUGACUCUGUUGUUAGUGAAGACCAAUGACGUCAGUAACUGAACUUCUCCUGACGGUAUCUAACCAGAAAGCCACGGCUAACUACGUG
RNAcentral lists this ribosomal RNA (508 nucleotides) under uncultured bacterium. RNAcentral describes it as "partial 16S ribosomal RNA". It matches the Rfam family "Bacterial small subunit ribosomal RNA", at positions 28 to 507 of the family's 1533-position model. The record is from RNAcentral.